AAAAUCAGUGGGGAAAGAAGACUCUGUUGAGCUUGACUCUAGUUUGACAUUGUGAAAAGACAUAUCAGAUGUAGAAUAGGUGGGAGCUUUGGUACUGGUGAAAUACCACUACCUUUAUUGUUUUUUUACUUAUUCAAUAAAGCAGAACUGAGCUUUACUGCCCAACUUCUAGCAUUAAGGUUCUUUGCAGGCUGAUCAAGGUUAAAGACAUUAUCAGAUGAAGAGUUUGGCUGGAGCAGCACAUCUGUUAAAUCAUAACACAGGUGUUCUAAGAGGGACUCAUGGAGAACAGAAAUCUCCAGUAGAACAAAAGGGUAAAAGUCCCCUUGAUUUUGAUUUUCAGUGUGAAUACAAACCAUGAAAGUGUGGCCUAUUGAUUCUUUAGUCCCUCAAAAUUUGAGGCUAGAGGUGCCAGAAAAGUUACCACAGGGAUAACUAGCUUGUGGCAGCCAAGUGUUCAUAGUGAUGUUGCUUUUUGAUCCUUCAAUGUCAGCUCUUCCUAUUAUACUGAAGCAGAAUUUGGUAAGUGUUGGAUUGUUCACUCACUAAUAGGGAACAUGAGCUGGAUUUAGAUCAUCAUGAGACAGGUUAGUUUUACCCUACUGAUGAAGAUCACCACAACAGUAAUUCAAUUUAGUAUGAGAGGAACUGUUGAUUCAGAUAAUUGGUUUUUGUGGCUGUCUGACCAGGCAGUGCCACAAAGCUACCAUCUGCUGGAUUAUGGCUGAAUGCCUCUAAGUCAGAAUCCAUACUGGAACAUGGUGAUGUUGCUCCACAUGUUGUAGUUGGAUACAAAUAGACCUACAGGUUCUGAAUCUCAGCAGAUCAGCAAUGACUUCCAGAAAGAGACUCUCAGGCACCAGCUGACAGAUUGCAAUGUCACCACAUGUGAGGAUAGAUUCUCUGCAGACAACUGAAAUGAUCAAGUAGGUCAUGUAAGCAGUCAAGUAGCCUAGUUAUUACAAGUUGCUGAGCAUCAGUCCAAUUCUUGGCUUAAUUU
This 1000-nucleotide non-coding RNA is filed under the name Coccidioides immitis RMSCC 3703. Its description in RNAcentral is "Eukaryotic large subunit ribosomal RNA". It matches the Rfam family "Eukaryotic large subunit ribosomal RNA", at positions 2390 to 3399 of the family's 3401-position model. Lineage: Eukaryota; Fungi; Ascomycota; Eurotiomycetes; Onygenales; Onygenaceae. The record is from Rfam by way of RNAcentral.